Molecule: long non-coding RNA, 504 nt
Organism: Homo sapiens (human)
Lineage: Eukaryota; Metazoa; Chordata; Mammalia; Primates; Hominidae
Product: long intergenic non-protein coding RNA 900
Source: Ensembl
UCCACUGUGCUUCUGAUGACCCGGCCGCCGCCGCCGCCCUGCAACCGCUCCCCGGGACCCCUCAACGCUGACACUGAUGACCCGCGGCGGGGGCGCUGGGCGCGGGGUGCGCAGGCCACUGGCCGCGGGCUCUCGGGCCCGCUCCUGCCGCCGGCUUCUGCUGCUUCCGCGUGCCGUGGACACUGCCAGAAUUUGUCAAAGGUCCUAGGAAGAAAAGGCUCUUUCACCCCUCCCCUCAAUGAACAGAUGGCGUGUUUGGACUGUUCGCAUUCGCUCCUCAUAGGUGGGAUCCUGGAGGAAGUUAAGGGGUGCUCCGUUCCCUGGGGAUGGGACAGCAGCUCGCCUUUUUACUAAUAGCUAUAAGGGACUGUCAGACAUUUACCUGACUAGACCUUCACCUCAGAGCUCAGAAGGGGAACAGCUCCAGAACUAAAAGAGAGAGCCUCUGGCAGACCCCAAAAGACAGCAUGUGGAGUGAAGCUGGGCUUCCCUGCCCAAUCACUA